CGGUGAACCUUGCCACCAUCCAAACACCACACUGUCAUCCUCGCUCUCUCACAGUCUCUCUCUCUUCUUCUCGACUUUUUCCUUGACACAGAGCACAGAAGCAAUGGCGACAAAGCUGCCGAUCUCCAGCAAGGUAACCACAUGCCUCACCUUGCUCUCCUCACUGCGGACUCCCUAUUAUCUUUUGCUUUCUGAAAACAGAAACUGAUGCAACGAAUUGACAAGCUCCAUGGCAGCUUGACUUCCUGGCGAGAUUUUUCGUUGAAUCCAGUAUGGUUUCAACCUAGGGGACAAAUUCCCCAAAUUUCCAAUGAGGGCUGUGAGUUUCAGGCUGAUUUUAAGCUAUCACCGGCCACCCAAUGGCCCUGAGAAGGUCGUUCUCUCGCUACGCGUGGUACUACUGUGGAUUGCGCAUAGAGCACAGGCACCUCCACCGGAAGGAUAAAUGCCUGAAAGGAUGAAUAUACAUUUGAAAUCAUUGCCUUGUUUUUUUUUCUUUAAAUUAUAAUGAUGAUUUCUUAGUUGAAUUUCGGCAUGUGAUUGAUCUGUCAAGAGGAGAAAUUAUGAGCAAUCUUUUCCUCUUCU
Long non-coding RNA from Pyrus x bretschneideri (Chinese white pear), 585 nucleotides. RefSeq lists it as uncharacterized. The transcript is spliced from 3 exons. The record is from RefSeq and is a predicted model, not a curated record. Lineage: Eukaryota; Viridiplantae; Streptophyta; Magnoliopsida; Rosales; Rosaceae.